Molecule: non-coding RNA, 118 nt
Organism: Cucumis sativus (cucumber)
Lineage: Eukaryota; Viridiplantae; Streptophyta; Magnoliopsida; Cucurbitales; Cucurbitaceae
Source: Rfam
GAGCCGUGCGGUGAGUACAGAGCGAACUAUUCUUUCGCCUUUUACUAAAGAAUACCGUGUACUCGCCGUUGACAUCGGCAUACGCCUAUUUUUGGAGGGGGCUUAUUUUAUGGGUCUC